ACAUGCAAGUCGAGCGGGGAAGAGUAGCUUGCUACUUUACCUAGCGGCGGACGGGUGAGUAAUGCUUAGGAAUCUGCCUAUUAGUGGGGGACAACAUCUCGAAAGGGAUGCUAAUACCGCAUACGUCCUACGGGAGAAAGCAGGGGACCUUCGGGCCUUGCGCUAAUAGAUGAGCCUAAGUCGGAUUAGCUAGUUGGUGGGGUAAAGGCCUACCAAGGCGACGAUCUGUAGCGGGUCUGAGAGGAUGAUCCGCCACACUGGGACUGAGACACGGCCCAGACUCCUACGGGAGGCAGCAGUGGGGAAUAUUGGACAAUGGGGGGAACCCUGAUCCAGCCAUGCCGCGUGUGUGAAGAAGGCCUUUUGGUUGUAAAGCACUUUAAGCGAGGAGGAGGCUACCGAGAUUAAUACUCUUGGAUAGUGGACGUUACUCGCAGAAUAAGCACCGGCUAACUCUGUGCCAGCAGCCGCGGUAAUACAGAGGGUGCAAGCGUUAAUCGGAUUUACUGGGCGUAAAGCGCGCGUAGGUGGCCAAUUAAGUCAAAUGUGAAAUCCCCGAGCUUAACUUGGGAAUUGCAUUCGAUACUGGUUGGCUAGAGUAUGGGAGAGGAUGGUAGAAUUCCAGGUGUAGCGGUGAAAUGCGUAGAGAUCUGGAGGAAUACCGAUGGCGAAGGCAGCCAUCUGGCCUAAUACUGACACUGAGGUGCGAAAGCAUGGGGAGCAAACAGGAUUAGAUACCCUGGUAGUCCAUGCCGUAACGAUGUCUACUAGCCGUUGGGGCCUUUGAGCUUUAGUGGCGCAGCUAACGCGAUAAGUAGACCGCCUGGGGAGUACGGUCGCAGACUAAAACUCAAUGAAUUGACGGGGCUCGCACAAGCGGUGGAGCAUG
This 889-nucleotide ribosomal RNA is filed under the name uncultured bacterium. RNAcentral's name for it is "bacterial SSU rRNA". It matches the Rfam family "Bacterial small subunit ribosomal RNA", at positions 53 to 941 of the family's 1533-position model. The record is from RNAcentral.